GAUGAAGAACGUAGCGAAAUGCGAUAAGUAAUGUGAAUUGCAGAAUUCAGUGAAUCAUCGAAUCUUUGAACGCACAUUGCGCCCGCUAGUAUUCUGGCGGACAUGCCUGUCCGAGCGUCAUUUCAACCCUCAAGCCCCCGGGCUUGGUGUUGGGGAUCGGCGAGCCUCCGCGCCCGCCGUCCCCUAAAUCUAGUGGCGGUCUCGCUGUAGCUUCCUCUGCGUAGUAGCACACCUCGCACUGGGAAACAGCGCGGCCACGCCGUUAAACCCCCAACUUCUGAACGUUUGACCUCGGAUCAGGUAGGAAUACCCGCUGAACUUAAGCAUAUCAAUAAGCGGAGGA
RNAcentral lists this unclassified non-coding RNA (343 nucleotides) under soil metagenome. RNAcentral's name for it is "partial contains 5.8S ribosomal RNA, internal transcribed spacer 2, and large subunit ribosomal RNA". The stretch from base 1 to 120 matches the Rfam family "5.8S ribosomal RNA", at positions 35 to 154 of the family's 154-position model. The record is from RNAcentral.